UCCACAUAGGGCAGCUUCAGCCUGAGCUGUGGCACAGUUUUUGUGCCCUGUUUGAGGGCUGUAGAAGUUUGAUUUUUGCUUUUGUCUCCAGCAUGGCAGGAUAUGGUUUGUUUCUUGAUGCUAGCCUCAUCUCCGUCCUCUGAGUGGGUCCGUGCUGGUUUUUCUCUGCGUCUGUCCGUGUUGCAUUGGUGGUGUCAGUAAACACAAGCUGGAAAUGGCAUACAGAUUGCUUUAAUUUGCACCAAGGGCAUCUUUGCCUCUAUGAACAAGAAAGCAUUUUUGAAAACAUCCUUCAUCUACUAAAUUGAGUGCUCCUAGUUUCCAGUUCUACAGUAUGUUGUCAGCAGGAUCAGAGCUGGGCCUACAAGGCACUCUGCUCUGCCCCAGGCUGUGCUGCUGGCAAGUUGCAGGACACGGAGCUGUGCUGGAGAGCCUGAGCUGCCCCAGUGAGCGUACCAAAGG
Tympanuchus pallidicinctus (lesser prairie-chicken) is the source of this 462-nucleotide long non-coding RNA. RefSeq lists it as uncharacterized. The record is from RefSeq and is a predicted model, not a curated record. NCBI's taxonomy places the organism in Eukaryota, Metazoa, Chordata, Aves, Galliformes, Phasianidae. The transcript has 3 exons.